CUACGGAGGGUGCAAGCGUUAUUCGGAAUCACUGGGCGUAAAGGACGCGUAGGCGGGUUGGCAAGUCAGAUGUGAAAUCCUACAGCUUAACUGUAGAACUGCAUUUGAAACUGCUAACCUAGAGUAUGGGAGGGGGAGAUGGAAUUAGUGGUGUAGGGGUAAAAUCCGUAGAUAUCACCAGGAAUACCGAAAGCGAAGGCGAUCUCCUGGAACAUAACUGACGCUAAGGCGUGAAAGCGUGGGGAGCAAACAGGAUUAGAAACCCUAGUAGUCC
RNAcentral lists this ribosomal RNA (274 nucleotides) under uncultured bacterium. RNAcentral's name for it is "partial 16S ribosomal RNA". It matches the Rfam family "Bacterial small subunit ribosomal RNA", at positions 523 to 796 of the family's 1533-position model. The record is from RNAcentral.